Biomphalaria glabrata is the source of this 4711-nucleotide long non-coding RNA. RefSeq lists it as uncharacterized. Lineage: Eukaryota; Metazoa; Mollusca; Gastropoda; Planorbidae. The transcript is spliced from 7 exons. The record is from RefSeq and is a predicted model, not a curated record.
GAGUUGAUGUGUGUUUUAUAUAGGUUACACCACUCGGUGUUUAGGAGUAACAUCCCUUGUAACUGUUGUUGUCAACCAAGAUCAUGGAUGGCAUACCAGCUGAUUUUGGUACAUCUUAUGGUGAAGAGUAGUUCAGGCAAGACCAGUAUGUGGUACAUAAUACUUGCUAAUUGUAUUGCAAGGGACACAAGAAGAAUAGGUGCAACAAUUUCCUCUUCUGAUGAUUGGGAAAUUACAUUUGAAAGUAUCACAGAUCUCCAGUGGCUGGGAAGUGGAGCCCAUGGGCCUGUGUUUCUUGGCAAACUCUGUAAUGAAGAAGUAGCAGUCAAGAAGGUCAGAGAUGUUAAAGAGAUAGACAUUUGGAACUUAAGGAAACUGAAUCACCCAAACAUUAUAGCCUUCAAUGUUCUUGUGGCAUCCAAUGAUAUUGUCAGGAACCAGCCGAGAGUGGAAUGAAAAAAAAAGCACUAAAAUGUCAUUUGCUGGCACUGUGGCCUGAAUGGCAUCAGAAGUCAUUUGAAAUAAAAUGUGUAGUGAAAUGAAAAAGUAGACAUUUGGAAUGCAAAGCUCAAAAAUAGACCAUCAUUUAGACAAAUUCUCAUGCACCUUGAGAUUGCCUCUGCUAAAUUACUUUGAUUCAGUCGGGAGGACUUUUCUGAAUCUCAAUGAAGUCCUUAACUGAAAGACACAGAUUCUGUCAUUAUCAUCAAGAUAUUCUAAGAAAGGAUCUGAGGUGAGAACAAUUACUGACUAUGUACAACAAUAGUAGAAAGAGUAUAAUUCGUCCAAUCAUAAAAGUUCUCGAAAAGCUAGAUCGACUUGGUAAAAAAACUGACACAUAGGUCAGAGUCUGAAGUCACCAUGCCUGACUCUAUAAAAAACACAGAAGGGAGCAUGACAACCAGGUCUUAGCUGGUACCACCACCUCCUACGAAAAUGCGUGCCAGGAAGCGUCGUCAUCAUCGCAAUAACAGCAGAGGUUCUAUGAAAGACAUUACCUCUCCGCUCAAAUCUCAAUCUACAUAUGAAGCUUCACUGGACACCCAAACAUCAGACAAACUAAACCCUCAGGGCUUCAUCCUACUGACCUAUGCUAAGACAUUAAACUUUUUGGGACCUGCCACUGCAAUCAGGGAGUAUCGAAGUGAAGAUGAAGCUGAUGGGCAAGAGACCAGGUUAACAACAUUAAAAAACGUCAAGUUCCUUGUAGCAAAAACUUAUCCACUUCUGCCGCAAGGCACUCGCCAAUCGCAAAACAUUCUCCUGUAAGUAAAAGCAGAACUCAUCCUAUCAAGACAAUAACUUUAACAAUGUUUGCUUUGGCUGUGAUGGUGGCUGCAGUAUGCUACUUGUAGGAGCAAAUGCUCAUCCCAGGUCAGUGCUGAUGUGGAGAGCAUAUGUGACCUAUCCCCUCUGCCCAGCCCAAAACAGAACUUGGAAACUAUGAGUGAAAAAUCCUUUCCGGAUAUUGAUCUCUCAUCCCGACCUGAAACCUUUAUUUCAAUGCUGACAUAACAAACAGAUGGUUUGGUUAUUGUUGUAUUUGAAAAACACAAAUGUCUACCAAAAUUGAGGCCCACUUUCUUCAAUUCUUUACAAAGGUAACCUGCUAAUCAUAAAUAUGUUAAAAGGAUGAAGUUUGUGAUAGGCUUCUUCAAAAGUUGGUUCCAAUAAAAAUUAAACUGAGUUAAUUCAUAACUAUCAAUUUUAACCAGGUGUAAUAGUUUGUAUUUCAAAUGUCUAAUAAGUCCACUUGGGCAUUAUUUGUUUAUUGGGAGCACUGUUUGAUUAGCCAGUGCACUAGGAGUUUUGUCUCUUUCAUAAAAAUGAGCAUUUUAAAAAAUUUCCUUUAAACUUAAAGAUGACUCAUUUUUAAAAGCUAAUUGCAUUCAAGGUUUGGGCUGCAGAUUGGCUUAGUGUCAAUGAACGUUGAAUGGUGUAAUACUGGGUUCUUGCUUCCUGAAGUACUCUAGACACGUGACAAGACAAACACUAUACGACUGACUCAAGUCCGUUCAGCAGACAACAUGAAGUUUAUUUUACUAAAAUAAUAAUAAUAAUAUACUGCACUCCUUGUUAGUGCUACAAGUCAAGAAAUAAUAACAAUCCUAUCCGCAUAGCAGCGGUAACAAAUGUAUCAAUCACGUCCGCACCUCAGCGGGUAACAAUAAGAACAAUUACUACUAGUGACACUGGAGCUUCAACUAUAGAUAUCCAUUGAAAUACGAAUAAUACCUUAAUAUUCAAUAAGCACAUAAUGAAAUCAACUCUCAAAUAUUAUUAAGCAACAAUCAUUAGUCCAUCGACUUUCAUGCUAUAUACAUAUAUACACCAGUCCAGGAAGAAACGUCCAUUCUUCCUGGACCGGGAGCAAGACCUUACUGACUUGACUUGACUGAACUCCAAGUCAACUUUAUUCAUUCUACUUCCUGUUUUCUACAUCAGGAAUUCCAUGUGUCUUUUAAACUAUUAACAUGACGUGAACUUUAGAUCAUGCAAUGUCAACUAAGACUGACAAUUAGCCAAUACGCAAGGAACUACUGAAUAUUGGUAAUAAGCUAAUACACAGGAAAAUAGAAUUUAUUGACUGUUGCUAACAACCAAUAUAAAAAGGAUUUUCAGCCAGUGCAUGUUUUCAAGAGGGGAAAAGUUCUCUUAAAUAACUACAAACAAUGAUUUCAUUGGCAGUUUUCUUUGCUUCUUUUCUCCUCAUUUUCAUCUUUGCUAAUGACACAUUUAUUUGUUUAAUAACAAUAUUUUAUCAAAUCUUUGAAAUAUAAACAAUAAUUUGAAACUAACAUAUCACAUUUUUUACAACUGUUUUGUUAUGUAUCUUAGAACAUGGUAACCACUAUUGGCAAUCCCAGAUAAGAAUAAAAAUAGAUGCACAUUUUUUCAUGUCUUUUUUUUGCAUUCUUAAAAAGAAUGUAUGCAGCCAAAACAGUGUUACCCAACCUAGAGCCUGCAGGCCAUAUCUGACCCAUGAUGCAGUGCAGUUUGGCUUUUGAAGCUUCUGCUCAUGGUGCAAGAGACCAAUUUCAUUGGACUUGCCUUUUUUUUAUGUGGCUCAUGACAUGUAAAAGAAAUUCAGCCUUCAGGCUGGAAAAGGUUGGGCAGCACUGACCUAAAUCAUCCCUUUUGAGUUUUGUCCACAUCAAUACAUGAUUUUAUUUCCUGUCCAAUUUUUCAUAGACCUAAAAAACGUGUAGGAUUUUUUAAAUGUUGAUAGAACAGAAAGAAAAAAAAAGUUUUCUUUUUCAGGGUGGGGUGCUCUGUAACCUUAAGUUUUUGGACUAGUAUUUAAAAAUAGUGUUCAGUCCUACAAAAAGAUUUGUUUUUUGAGACUUAAAAUUGUUUUGUUGUUUUAUAAGGUCAAUUUUUUAAAUGUCAUCACCUCCAACUUGAAUUAUUCUCAAUAUGAAAAACAAAGUGUGAAUUAUUUUGUCAUAGAAACAUUUAUUAAACAUAAACUGAAAAAAAAAAGUUAAAUAUUAUAUAAAUAUUGUAUAUUACAAUAGCUCAUGAUUUUUACUAACGAGUUUCACUUCAGUUUCUCUGUGGCUAAUUACUCUUAUUUCAUACAUUUAUAAGUGUAUAUUUGUUUGUAUAGAUCUUUAUUUAUUUUAACACACAUCUUCUUUUCUCUAGAACUGUUCUUAAAGUUUACCAGUGACAUUUGUAUUAGAUCUCCAGAUGAUACUUGUUUUUAUUUGACCACAUAAAUUUGUCAUUAUUCCAUUCAUUAGACAAACUGCAAAAGUUUUGCUGGAUAAAACUUGCUUCAUCAAAACAUUGGUUUUGCUGGCUGGACUAUCACCUUGAUUCUACCUCUUAUUGAAAAGAGUUCAUCUUAGUUUAUGCUUUUGUUUAACUUUUGCACUCUCAAAUCUACUAAACGUUAAUCAUAGAAAAGUAAUGAAACAUUUUUUUUUUCUUUGCCAUGUCUACUACCCUUGUUAAAAUAGAUACAAUUGUGAGGGAGUUUUUAAAAUGUAAUUUGCUAGAUUACUAGAACAACCACUCAUUGAAAUUCAUUUUAGUGGAAAGGGGAGGGGGGGGGGGGGGACAAAAAAGUGUUUUCUAUGUUGUUUUGUUGUAUGCUUUAUUUUAAUUGACAUUUAUUUUCUUUUGUUAUUCAUUCUCUAAGUACCAGUAUGAAGAAACCAAAACAAGCUGCUGAGGGAACAUCUGAUUAAUACUUUUUUAUAUAUAUAAAUUAUAUUUGGUAGCGUUUUUUUUAGGGUUUUUUUUCUAAAGCCUUUAUUGUUGACUUAAUUUAAAAUAUUCUUUUAUCUCAGAUUUGUGAUUAGUACAUUAAAACAAAAACAAUUUUGUAAUAUAUAUUAUUAUUCAUCACUGUUACUAAUCCAUAUUUUUUUUUUUACAUUUAAACACCUUGUAUAUUGACAGAACUCUUUUGUGUUCUCCUGAUUCCUACAAUCAUUCUAGUGGCAGCCAUUUUAUUUCUUGUCAUUUGUAGAACUAUGAUUCAGUUGUUGUUGUUGUGAAUUAGUUCUGCCAAUGGUUAUUUAUGUAUUUAUAUGGUUUAACAUUUUUUUUAAAUUAUUGUAAAGACAAUCUAAAUAAUGCCUGUCCUGUCCUGUCAGGACUUUAUUUAUGAUUAGAUUUUUAAAUGUCUAGGUAAUUAAGUAAAAUUUUAAUUGCAAUAUGUGUGUGUAUUAAAGAAUAAUUGUUAUCUUUUGCUUGAUGA